AACGAACGCUGGCGGCAGGCCUAACACAUGCAAGUCGAGCGAGGACUUCGGUCCUAGCGGCGGACGGGUGAGUAACGCGUGGGAACGUGCCCUUUGCUUCGGAAUAGCCCUGGGAAACUGGGAGUAAUACUGGAUGAGCCCUUUGGGGGAAAGAUUUAUCGGCGAAGGAUCGGCCCGCGUUGGAUUAGGUAGUUGGUGGGGUAAUGGCCUACCAAGCCGACGAUCCAUAGCUGGUUUGAGAGGAUGAUCAGCCACACUGGGACUGAGACACGGCCCAGACUCCUACGGGAGGCAGCAGUGGGGAAUCUUAGACAAUGGGGGAAACCCUGAUCUAGCCAUGCCGCGUGAGCGAUGAAGGCCUUAGGGUUGUAAAGCUCUUUCAGCUGGGAAGAUAAUGACGGUACCAGCAGAAGAAGCCCCGGCUAACUCCGUG
This 433-nucleotide ribosomal RNA is filed under the name uncultured bacterium. RNAcentral describes it as "partial 16S ribosomal RNA". It matches the Rfam family "Bacterial small subunit ribosomal RNA", at positions 29 to 507 of the family's 1533-position model. The record is from RNAcentral.